This 699-nucleotide ribosomal RNA is filed under the name uncultured Alphaproteobacteria bacterium. RNAcentral's name for it is "bacterial SSU rRNA". It matches the Rfam family "Bacterial small subunit ribosomal RNA", at positions 28 to 775 of the family's 1533-position model. Lineage: Bacteria; Pseudomonadati; Pseudomonadota; Alphaproteobacteria. The record is from RNAcentral.
AGCGAACGCUGGCGGCAGGCCUAAUACAUGCAAGUCGAGCGCACCUUCGGGUGAGCGGCGGACGGGUGAGUAACGCGUGGGAACGUGCCCUUUGGUUCGGAACAACACAGGGAAACUUGUGCUAAUACCGAAUGUGCCCUUCGGGGGAAAGAUUUAUCGCCAUUGGAGCGGCCCGCGUUGGAUUAGGUAGUUGGUGGGGUAAAGGCCCACCAAGCCGACGAUCCAUAGCUGGUCUGAGAGGAUGAUCAGCCACACUGGGACUGAGACACGGCCCAGACUCCUACGGGAGGCAGCAGUAGGGAAUCUUGCGCAAUGGGCGAAAGCCUGACGCAGCCAUGCCGCGUGAAUGAUGAGGGUCUUAGGAUUGUAAAAUUCUUUCACCGGGGAAGAUAAUGACGGUACCCGGAGAAGAAGCCCCGGCUAACUUCGUGCCAGCAGCCGCGGUAAUACGAAGGGGGCUAGCGUUGCUCGGAAUUACUGGGCGUAAAGGGCGCGUAGGCGGAUAGUUUAGUCAGAGGUGAAAGCCCAGGGCUCAACCUUGGAACUGCCUUUGAUACUGGCUAUCUUGAGUUCGGGAGAGGUGAGUGGAAUGCCGAGUGUAGAGGUGAAAUUCGUAGAUAUUCGGCGGAACACCAGUGGCGAAGGCGACUCACUGGCCCGAUACUGACGCUGAGGCGCCAAAGCGUGGGGAGCAAACAG